AGGGCUGUAGUUCAGUUGGUAGAGCAUCGGUCUCCAAAACCGAGUGUCGCGGGUUCGAGUCCUGCCGGCCCUG
RNAcentral lists this transfer RNA (73 nucleotides) under Treponema sp. Its description in RNAcentral is "tRNA-Trp". It matches the Rfam family "tRNA". From Rfam's summary of the family: Transfer RNA (tRNA) molecules are approximately 80 nucleotides in length. RNAcentral also lists the same sequence under 1 other name. Lineage: Bacteria; Pseudomonadati; Spirochaetota; Spirochaetia; Treponematales; Treponemataceae. The record is from RNAcentral.